This 1300-nucleotide ribosomal RNA is filed under the name uncultured organism. RNAcentral's name for it is "bacterial SSU rRNA". It matches the Rfam family "Bacterial small subunit ribosomal RNA", at positions 32 to 1360 of the family's 1533-position model. The record is from RNAcentral.
AACGCUGGCGGCGUGCUUAACACAUGCAAGUCGAACGAGAAAGCUCCUUCGGGAGUGAGUACAGUGGCGAACGGGUGCGUAACACGUUGGUGACCUGCCUUGAGGAGGGGGACAACCGUGGGAAACCACGGCUAAUACCCCGGAUGUCUAAACUGUUAGAGGGUUUAGACUAAAACUUCGGUGCCUCAAGAGGGGCCUGCGGGCUAUCAGCUUGUUGGUGGGGUAAUGGCCUACCAAGGCUAAGACGGCUAGGGGGCGUGAGAGCGCGACCCCCCACAAUGGAACUGAGACACGGUCCAUACUCCUACGGGAGGCAGCAGUGAGGAAUAUUGCGCAAUGGGGGAAACCCUGACGCAGCAACGCCGCGUGAACGAUGAAGGCCUUCGGGUCGUAAAGUUCUUUUCUAAGGGAAGAUAGUGACGGUACCUUAGGAAUAAGUCCCGGCUAACUACGUGCCAGCAGCCGCGGUAAAACGUAGGGGGCGAGCGUUAUCCGGAUUUAUUGGGCGUAAAGCGCACGUAGGUGGCGCUGUAAGUUAGACGUGAAAGCUCUCGGCUCAACUGAGAGAGGUCGUUUAAAACUGCAGUGCUUGAGGUUAGAAGAGGAGAGCAGAAUUCCCGGUGUAGUGGUGGAAUGCGUAGAUAUCGGGAGGAAUACCAGUGGCGAAGGCGGCUCUCUAGUCUACACCUGACACUGAGGUGCGAAAGCGUGGGUAGCGAACCGGGAUUAGAUACCCCGGUAGUCCACGCUGUAAACGAUGGAUACUAGGUGUAGGGGGUCAUUUAACCCCUCUGUGCCGAAGCAAACGCGUUAAGUAUCCCGCCUGGGGACUACGGCCGCUAAGGUUUAAAUUCCAAAGGGAUUGACGGGGUCCCGCACAAGCAGCGGAGCGUGUGGUUUAAUUCGAUGAUACGCGAAGAACCUUACCUGGGCUUGAACUACGUGGUAGUAGUGAAGCGAAAGCGGAUCGACCCUUCGGGGAGCCUCGAUAGUUGCUGCAUGGCUAUCGUCAGCUCGCGUCGUGAGAUGUUGGGUUAAGUCCCGCAACGAGCGCAACCCUCGUCGCUAGUUACAAGUGUCUAUGCGAGACUGCCGGUAUCAAACCGGAGGAAGGUGGGGAUGACGUCAAGUCAGCAUGGUCUUUAUGUCCAGGGCUACACACACGCUACAAUGGUCGGUACAAUAGGUUGCCACACCGCGAGGUGGAGCUAAUCCUCAAAGCCGAUCUCAGUUCGGAUUGUAGUCUGCAACUCGACUACAUGAAGGCGGAGUUGCUAGUAACCGCGCGUCAGCAUAGUGC